This 464-nucleotide ribosomal RNA is filed under the name uncultured bacterium. RNAcentral describes it as "partial 16S ribosomal RNA". It matches the Rfam family "Bacterial small subunit ribosomal RNA", at positions 28 to 506 of the family's 1533-position model. The record is from RNAcentral.
GACGAACGCUGGCGGCGUGCUUAACACAUGCAAGUCGAACGGUAAGGCCCUGCUUGCAGGGUACUCGAGUGGCGAACGGGUGAGUAACACGUGGGUGAUCUGCCCUGCACUUCGGGAUAAGCCUGGGAAACUGGGUCUAAUACCGGAUAGGAGCCAUUUUUAGUGUGAUGGUUGGAAAGUUUUUUCGGUGUAGGAUGAGCUCGCGGCCUAUCAGCUUGUUGGUGGGGUAAUGGCCUACCAAGGCGGCGACGGGUAGCCGGCCUGAGAGGGUGGACGGCCACAUUGGGACUGAGAUACGGCCCAGACUCCUACGGGAGGCAGCAGUGGGGAAUAUUGCACAAUGGGCGCAAGCCUGAUGCAGCGACGCCGCGUGGGGGAUGACGGCCUUCGGGUUGUAAACUCCUUUCGCUAGGGACGAAGCUUUUUGUGACGGUACCUAGAUAAGAAGCACCGGCUAACUACGU